RNAcentral lists this small nucleolar RNA (191 nucleotides) under Nannospalax galili (Upper Galilee mountains blind mole rat). Its description in RNAcentral is "Small nucleolar RNA U3 (ENSNGAG00000007895.1)". It matches the Rfam family "Small nucleolar RNA U3". Rfam says of the family: Small nucleolar RNAs (snoRNAs) are involved in the processing and modification of rRNA in the nucleolus. Lineage: Eukaryota; Metazoa; Chordata; Mammalia; Rodentia; Spalacidae. The record is from Rfam by way of RNAcentral.
AAGACUGUGUUUUCAGGGAUCAUUUCUAUAGUUCAUGACUAGAGAAGUUUCUCUGACAGUGUAGAGUACCAGAAACCAUGAGGAGGAGCAUGAAGCCAGCUCUUGGUGUUGCUUUGCUGCAAUUAACACUUGCCAUUGGUGAUCAUUCUCUCCUUUGGGAGAUUAGAGGACGAGAAUGCAGUCUGAGUGGG